RNAcentral lists this ribosomal RNA (483 nucleotides) under uncultured Actinomycetales bacterium. RNAcentral's name for it is "bacterial SSU rRNA". It matches the Rfam family "Bacterial small subunit ribosomal RNA", at positions 28 to 523 of the family's 1533-position model. The record is from RNAcentral. Lineage: Bacteria; Bacillati; Actinomycetota; Actinomycetes; Actinomycetales.
GAUGAACGCUGGCGGCGUGCUUAACACAUGCAAGUCGAACGGAAAGGCCCAAGCUUGCUUGGGUACUCGAGUGGCGAACGGGUGAGUAACACGUGGGUGAUCUGCCCUGCACUUCGGGAUAAGCCUGGGAAACUGGGUCUAAUACCGGAUAGGACCACAUUUUGGAUGGUGUGGUGGAAAGUUUUUCGGUGUGGGAUGAGCUCGCGGCCUAUCAGCUUGUUGGUGGGGUAAUGGCCUACCAAGGCGUCGACGGGUAGCCGGCCUGAGAGGGUGUACGGCCACAUUGGGACUGAGAUACGGCCCAGACUCCUACGGGAGGCAGCAGUGGGGAAUAUUGCACAAUGGGCGCAAGCCUGAUGCAGCGACGCCGCGUGGGGGAUGACGGCCUUCGGGUUGUAAACUCCUUUCGCUAGGGACGAAGCGUUUUUGUGACGGUACCUGGAGAAGAAGCACCGGCUAACUACGUGCCAGCAGCCGCGGUAA